RNAcentral lists this ribosomal RNA (948 nucleotides) under Xyo pseudohystrix. Its description in RNAcentral is "partial large subunit ribosomal RNA". It matches the Rfam family "Eukaryotic large subunit ribosomal RNA", at positions 104 to 829 of the family's 3401-position model. Lineage: Eukaryota; Metazoa; Nematoda; Chromadorea; Rhabditida; Hystrignathidae. The record is from RNAcentral.
AAAGCCCAGCGCUGAAUCCGUUGGCCACUGGCCAUUUGGAACUGUAGCGUAUAGGUGCAUGCCUAUCGGCGGUUUUGCUCACCCAAAGUCCCCUUGAGUGGGGCCGCAGUCCAUAGAAGGUGCUAGACCUGUACGGGUGGCGAGGCUGCUGGUGCGGUUGUACCUUGGAGUCGAGUUGCCUGGGAACGCAGCUCAAAGUAGAUGGUAAACCUCAUCUAAGGCUAAAUAUGACCACGAGACCGAAAGCAAACAAGUACCGUGAGGGAAAGUUGCAAAGAACUUUGAAGAGAGAGUUCAAGAGGGCGUGAAACCGCUGGGAAGGAAACGGAUAGAGUUGACGAAGCCCGGUGGCAUUCAGCCGAUAUGGUGCCGAUGCCCGAUUGUCCUUUUUUCACCUUCUGUAAAAAGGGGGUGGGGACGGUUUGGUUGCGUCGGAACUGCGAUCGGUGUAUUUGCUCUGGGUGUGCGCUGAGAGGUUCGUAGCGGUAUGUUGACACUGUUGCCAAAGAGGACUGUGCUCAUCUGAGUGCGGAAACCUUUGGUGGGUUUAGGUGUAUCCGCGAUGAACUGCUGGUUAGUUCUGGUUGUGUUGCUCCGCUGGUUUGCGCAAUGGCUUCUAUGUGGCUGGUGUGACUAUUGGGCGGUCGCUUGCGACUUGCCUAUAGCUGACGUUGGCUCGUUGGAAGUUCCGGUUGCGUUGGGCAAAUACAUCUCGGUGUAAAAGUCGAUCACCUAUCCGACCCGUCUUGAAACACGGACCAAGGAGUCUAGCAUAUACGCGAGUCAUUGGGUGGUAAACCUAAAGGCGUAAUGAAAGUAAGGAUCGCUUUAGUGCGGUUGAUAUGGGAUCUGUACGGUUUCUGACUGUGCGGCGCACCAUAGCCCCGUCCCAGUUGCUUGCAAUGGGGCGGAGGUAGAGCGUAUACGCUGGGACCCGAAAGAUGGUGA